Molecule: ribosomal RNA, 467 nt
Filed under: uncultured bacterium
Lineage: Bacteria
Description: partial 16S ribosomal RNA
Rfam family: Bacterial small subunit ribosomal RNA
Source: RNAcentral
GAUGAACGCUGGCGGCGUGCUUAACACAUGCAAGUCGAACGGAAAGGCUCCUGCUUGCAGGGGUACUCGAGUGGCGAACGGGUGAGUAACACGUGGGUGAUCUGCCCUGCACUUCGGGAUAAGCCUGGGAAACUGGGUCUAAUACCGGAUAGGACCACAUUUUGGAUGGUGUGGUGGAAAGUUUUUCGGUGUGGGAUGAGCUCGCGGCCUAUCAGCUUGUUGGUGGGGUAAUGGCCUACCAAGGCGUCGACGGGUAGCCGGCCUGAGAGGGUGUACGGCCACAUUGGGACUGAGAUACGGCCCAGACUCCUACGGGAGGAAGCAGUGGGGAAUAUUGCACAAUGGGCGCAAGCCUGAUGCAGCGACGCCGCGUGGGGGAUGACGGCCUUCGGGUUGUAAACUCCUUUCGCUAGGGACGAAGCGUUUUUGUGACGGUACCUGGAGAAGAAGCACCGGCUAACUACGUG